This 248-nucleotide long non-coding RNA is filed under the name Salvia miltiorrhiza (redroot sage). RNAcentral describes it as "long non-coding RNA (SMIL_LNC012615)". Lineage: Eukaryota; Viridiplantae; Streptophyta; Magnoliopsida; Lamiales; Lamiaceae. The record is from RNAcentral.
GUUAGUGGAAAUUGUUUAAAUAUUAAGUAUUGAGAGAGAGUGUAUUGCCAAAAAAGGUAUGAGACAUUUGGAGUGAGACGUCUCAUUAUGGAAAGUGGGACAUUUGGAGCGGGAUGGAGGGAAUAUUUGUUUGUGGUUGCUCCUUCUCUUUUAAGACUUGUUUUUUUUUUUUUUUUAGUCUAAAAAUUGUGGAUUUUUCGAAUGACACGAUGAACCGAUGUGUGAGAGAGCUAGGGAAGUUAUAAAUG